RNAcentral lists this unclassified non-coding RNA (230 nucleotides) under Hevea brasiliensis (rubber tree). The record is from RNAcentral. Lineage: Eukaryota; Viridiplantae; Streptophyta; Magnoliopsida; Malpighiales; Euphorbiaceae.
GUCUUCUCAUGUUUUUGAUGUCCACCGAGGCCCCAUGUCAGAAUUAUGGGCUCCAAAGUCAUCUUUCCUAGUCAAUAUUUGUUGAUUCCAAAAGAACGGCACUUGUAAUAUCUGUUUUCUUUUGUUGUAAAUAUUUCACUGAUAAAAAAACCAACUCCUUUGCCUAUUAUUCAAUGGUUAAACUCAAAGAGAAACUAACAAGCAUUCUACAGGUGUAAACCACAUAAUGC